UGCCAUUACAAGCUUUUCAAAAUUAUUAUAUGCUUGUGUGUGAAUGUUGUAUUUAUAUUUCUGAUGAAUGUGUACGAAUGCAUCUUUAUUUAUUGCACUGCUAAAUAUCUAUAUGUGAUAUUAGUGCUUCGCACAUGUCAUCAUUUUGCAUAAAUGGUGAGACACGUUGUAUGUGAAUGUAUGUUGUGUGGUUCCUCCAUCAGGAGGCUAUCCUAUCGGUGUUUGAUUACUG
Molecule: long non-coding RNA, 232 nt
Filed under: Panax ginseng (ginseng)
Lineage: Eukaryota; Viridiplantae; Streptophyta; Magnoliopsida; Apiales; Araliaceae
Description: long non-coding RNA (PGIN_LNC001463)
Source: RNAcentral